UGGGGAAUAUUGGACAAUGGGCGAAAGCCUGAUCCAGCAAUGCCGCGUGAGUGAUGAAGGCCUUAGGGUUGUAAAGCUCUUUUACCAGGGAUGAUAAUGACAGUACCUGGAGAAUAAGCUCCGGCUAACUCCGUGCCAGCAGCCGCGGUAAUACGGAGGGAGCUAGCGUUGUUCGGAAUCACUGGGCGUAAAGGGCGCGUAGGCGGGCAGUUAAGUCAGGGGUGAAAGCCCGAGGCUCAACCUCGGAAUUGCCUCUGAUACUGGCUGUCUAGAGUUCGAGAGAGGUGAGUGGAAUUCCUAGUGUAGAGGUGAAAUUCGUAGAUAUUAGGAAGAACACCGGUGGCGAAGGCGGCUCACUGGCUCGAUACUGACACUGAGGUGCGAAAGCGUGGGGAGCAAACAGGAUUAGAUACCCCUGUAGUCCCUGAGCGGGCUGGCAAGGCGCAU
RNAcentral lists this ribosomal RNA (447 nucleotides) under uncultured bacterium. Its description in RNAcentral is "bacterial SSU rRNA". It matches the Rfam family "Bacterial small subunit ribosomal RNA", at positions 355 to 825 of the family's 1533-position model. The record is from RNAcentral.